RNAcentral lists this ribosomal RNA (228 nucleotides) under uncultured bacterium. Its description in RNAcentral is "partial 16S ribosomal RNA". It matches the Rfam family "Bacterial small subunit ribosomal RNA", at positions 109 to 339 of the family's 1533-position model. The record is from RNAcentral.
CGUAACGCGUAUACAAUCUACCUUUUGCUGAGGGAUAGCCCAGAGAAAUUUGGAUUAACCCCUCAUGGUAUUAGAGAAUGGCAUCAUUUUUUAAUUAAAGGUUACGGCAAAAGAUGAGUAUGCGUACCAUUAGUUUGUUGGUAAGGUAACGGCUUACCAAGACUACGAUGGUUAGGGGUCCUGAGAGGGAGAUCCCCCACACUGGUACUGAGACACGGACCAGACUCC